CCCGGGGGCCCGUGGCGGCGGUAGCGGGCGCUGACAGCGGCGGUCAUGGAGCUGCGGCGGACGGUGCAGCUCUGCCGCUUUCACUCCCUCCUGCUGCAGAGGAGGUGCCCUUGGCAGCCGCCUGCCCUGCACUGCAGACACAGGGCCAGCCCUCUGAUGCAACGGUAAGCCCUUUGCCCGGGGAGCCGGGAGCCCUCCAGCCCAGGGGCGGGGGGGUCUGUCCCCUUGUUACUCACUUGGGUGGGUUGGAAACGCUCCUCCCCAUGGUGCUCACCUCAGGCCUGUCUGCACCUCCCUGCCGGGCAGAUAUAACGGAGGGGGGAGGGGGGCACGCUGAGAUUGCUCAGGCAGGAGAAACUGCAAAGACUGGUGGGUUAUUCACCCAGCCAGCCACAAAACAGCUUCUCUAAUACCUUAGUGGUGACCCAGGAGACAACACAGAGCUCCCUGAGAGCGACCCAGCCCUGGGCUCCCCGACAGCCCAGUCAGACACGCUGAGGAUUGCCAUUGGGUAUAAAGUUCUACCAGUCACCAGGGAUCGGACACAUCAUCCCCUAGCUCAGCGGAUAGCUCAGAUCUCACCGAAACACAGCUUCCAGCCAGCUCUUAUUAACCAGUCUAAGAUUUAUUAAACAAGACAAGAGGGG
This 647-nucleotide long non-coding RNA is filed under the name Gopherus evgoodei (Goodes thornscrub tortoise). RNAcentral describes it as "lncRNA (ENSGEVG00005000567.1)". Lineage: Eukaryota; Metazoa; Chordata; Testudines; Testudinidae. The record is from RNAcentral.